GCCCACCACUGCUUUCACCACGCGCUAGUAUUGUGAUGUCUGAGUAUGAGGUACCCUGAUCAUGCUUCUACCGCCCACCACUGCUUUCACCACGCGUUAGUAUUGUGAUAUCUGAGUAUGAGGUACCCUGAUCAUGCCUCUACCGCACACCACUGCUUUCACCACGCGUUAGUAUUGUGGUGUCUGAGUAUGAGGUACCCUGAUCAUGCCUCUACCGCACACCACUGCUUUCACCACGCGUUAGUAUUGUGAUGUCUGAGUAUGAGGUACCCUGAUCAUGUCUCUACCGCACACCACUGCUUUCACCACGCGUUAGUAUUGUGAUGUCUGAGUAUGAGGUACCCUGAUCAUGCUUCUACCGCACACCACUGCUCUCACCACGCGUUAGUAUUGUGUGAAAUCAGAGUACGAAUAACCCUCAUCGUGCCUCUAUCGUACAACAAACGCGCGGCCCUGACAGAUAACAACGAGCGAAGAACGAAACGGAAAACAUCCCCAACUAAAACGACACGUAUCGUCAAAUAGCCCAAUAAUUGUGCGGUAGGUGACGUCACACAAAACAACGUUUUCUAACAACGCAUUUUGAUUGAAGGUCUACAACAUUUCUUCUCCAGAGUUUAAUAUAAAAAAAACACGUAGAUAUAUGAUGUAUACGUGCUACGUACGAGAGACACGGAAAACAGCGGAGAUCGAAGGCUAAAGGCUCGAGGUAACACCACGAAGAACGGAUGCGCAGAGAGACACGCACUAAUAACAAGUGAAUUGUUAGCAUUGGCGCGGAAACACGAACAAUCGCACGGAUUCGCUCUCUCACAACGCACGCACGGACGCACGUACACACACGCGCGCGCAUACAUACACAAAGACACACGCGCGCGCGUACG
Long non-coding RNA from Priapulus caudatus, 884 nucleotides. RefSeq lists it as uncharacterized. Lineage: Eukaryota; Metazoa; Priapulida; Priapulimorpha; Priapulimorphida; Priapulidae. The record is from RefSeq and is a predicted model, not a curated record. The transcript is spliced from 3 exons.